AAAAAACACAAAAAUAAAAAUAAAAAUAAAUAAAUAGAGUGAAAAAUCCUUGCGUUGGAACCUUGUUCCCACCAGACAGUGGUUGUAUGGUUUCCAGGUGUUCUCUGUUGCCUAUGGUUUCUCCAUUGUAAACCUUUGGGGGGCGGGGAGGGGGAGAGGGUUCUAGGUUAUAACUCUCCUUCACAGGGCUGUUGGGAAAAUCACCUGGAACAUAGGAAUGGCCAACAAAACAUUAGUUAGUAGUAGUGAUUAGCAGGCCUCUGUAUUUCCAUUCUAGUCUUCUAACAGGUCCAGCCUGGCUUUUAUGGUGGCAGUGCCACUAAGACACUUCCUGAAACAGAUUCAGGGAUAAUAAAAGAGCAAAAUGAUUUUUCUUUUUUUUUUUCAGCCACACCUGCAGCAUAUGGAAGCUCCUGGGCCAAGGAUCAAAUCUAAGCCAUAGCUGCAACCUACGCCAAGGCUGCUGGAAAAGAUCGCUCUCUGGCACUGAGCAAACAAGUUGUUUUCCUGAAAUGCCGGCGUGUGGGCAGAAGCGGGAAUGUUUCCUCCAACCUUUGGACUUGGGGGAAUUUCAACCCCUGGGUAAAAUUUGAGUGACCUCAGACAGGGCGGAUUUCCUUCAAGUUACUCAAGGGGAGACUCUGGGACUUGUCAGAGCUCAGACCUGAAUUAAUGGGCUGUCUUGGGUGGUUCCAAACCCCCCUCCCAAUUAGAGGGAUUCCUAAAUAUUCCAAAAGGUGAUCUUUUGAUUGCAAGAGGAGACCAGUUGACUGCAUGGACUUCAGGAUGCUGAUAACAGCCAUUCGUCUAGGAAUGGACUAUUUUAAGGGGUGAUCUCAAUUUCACCUUUUUUUCCCCCCCUUUCAGACUUGAUUGUCCAUUUUCCUCCUCCACGUCCAGUGUAUUUUAACUCUUCCUGCGUCUUUCCGUUUGAGUACGGGGACCAACUGCACCACAACUGCAUCUGGGUCCACAGCGAUUAUGCCUGGUGUUCUAUUGACCAGAAGUUCCAAGGCAGGUGGCGGUACUGUACAGCCAGAGACCCCCCAAGGUGUAUCUUCCCUUUCUUGUACAGAAAUAAAUUAUUUCAUAGAUGCACCAGGGAAGGCUUUGUCUUGAGUCGGAGUUGGUGUUCACUGACGGAGAAUUACGACCAAGACGGAAAAUGGAAACAGUGCUCUCCUCACCAGCUCUGGUUUGCUGGCCCCUGACUCAGGUGAUCUGCCCGUGACCUCAGUCAAGUGAAGAAAUGAGUGUUUAGAUAAAUCUUGGUGUCCUUGAAGAGACAGAGGUUAUAGGAUGCAUCAGCUGCCUCUCAAAAGACCUCCUCUUCCUGAUGAUUCUGACCAAUAAAGAUUUGCGCUCUCUUCCA
Molecule: non-coding RNA, 1372 nt
Organism: Sus scrofa (pig)
Lineage: Eukaryota; Metazoa; Chordata; Mammalia; Artiodactyla; Suidae
Source: RefSeq, a predicted model, not a curated record